Molecule: long non-coding RNA, 1267 nt
Organism: Neodiprion virginianus
Lineage: Eukaryota; Metazoa; Arthropoda; Insecta; Hymenoptera; Diprionidae
Exons: 4
Source: RefSeq, a predicted model, not a curated record
UCAAGGCUGCUCUCUAUCAAUACCUCGACAUUGGUGGAUGGACGAAACGCAGAAAUUGAUCGGCACGACGAUGGUGCAAAUUGAUCCUACCUCUGUUCGCUAAGGCACAGCUUCUUUCCCACACGUACACACCGUGUAUGCAUUCUACAACCACGGAUAGAAUCCGUGUCUCGCGCUCCCUUUCGUGUGGCGCGUUGUCCUCGGGACCGGAGUUCACAACGCUCGCGACCCAUAUAUGGUCACUCGCUGUAUAAUUCAUCGGCACAGACACAAGUACGAGCAGAUUGAAAGUGCUCGGAUGUUUCCAAGACGAAAGACCAGGAACCCAAAAUAGUCGAGUCCAAGACGCCUAUCCCAUCGAGCGGGUCCGGAAUACGAAACGCACUAUAAAGUGAACCCGUUCUUUUAAUUAUCCCAAGCCGAUGGCAGCCUCGAGGAGGCUGAAGAACCUCGGCGUCCGAAGACAAGGGCGAUGGGAGAAGGGUAAUUGAGCGAACAGCCAGCCUUACGUCCAGGUUUCCUCGUCUUCGAAGGGACCCCAGAUCUAACCAUAACUCCGCCUCGUCCUCACCAACAAUGAGGUCUCCAAGGAUCGGGCAGGUCCUUGCGCCUACGGUGACUUCGAUUCUUGUUUGAAACGAUUCGAUCGAAAGUUUGACCACGGGUAAGUAUACAUAAUAUGAGACAUCUUUGAUCGGUGCGCCUUAGGGAUCCCGCUUUCCGGAAGAGUUUUUCCAUUAAUCACGGUCGUUUUAAUCGAUUUCGACUGAAACGCGAGUGAAAUUACCGCCUGCGGUAAGCAGCGCGUCCAACAACCCCGUGGGAAUGCUAUGCCCGAUUCACCCGGCUCUUCAUCGCGUCCGGUAAUUCAGGAGUAAUGUUGGCAAGCAAACGUCAUGUACCUACAACGUAAUUUAUACAAGAAGUUCGCAGUACACUGAAAUUGGUUGAGGAAACACUUUGUUGGGCUUUGUUGGGACGAAUGAUUAAAGAUCCACAGUCAAACCUAAACUUUACCAAUAAAACGAACUUCCUUCACAAAAUACUAGCUAUGCACUUAAUUCAACGUUCAACAAAUCGACCGAUUACUUAGCAAAGUGUUUGGCAAAAGUUUUUCACAAAAGCUUGCAGGAUCCCGUUCUAAAUAUAAAAAAUAUCCAAAUUCAUAUGAAAGCACAACGGUUCAUUACGCAGCUACGCUUGUCUGCAGCGAACAGUGGAAGGUUAAUUACUUACGGUUCUCGUUUAGUCGGACAACUUCUGCGCC